RNAcentral lists this ribosomal RNA (449 nucleotides) under uncultured bacterium. RNAcentral's name for it is "partial 16S ribosomal RNA". It matches the Rfam family "Bacterial small subunit ribosomal RNA", at positions 329 to 794 of the family's 1533-position model. The record is from RNAcentral.
UGCCAGACUCCUACGGGAGGCAGCAGUGGGGGAUAUUGCACAAUGGGGGGAACCCUGAUGCAGCGACGCCGCGUGGGUGAAGGAGCGUUUCGGCGCGUAAAGCCCUAUCGGCAGGGAAGAAGGAGGACGGUACCUGACUAAGAAGCCCCGGCUAACUACGUGCCAGCAGCCGCGGUAAUACGUAGGGGGCAAGCGUUAUCCGGAUUUACUGGGUGGAAAGGGGGCGCAGACGGCAGCGCAAGCCAGGAGGGAAAGGCCGGGGCCCAACCCCGGGACUGCCCUUGGAACUGCGUGGCUGGAGUGCAGGAGGGGCAGGCGGAAUUCCUGGUGUAGCGGUGAAAUGCGUAGAUAUCAGGAGGAACACCGGCGGCGAAGGCGGCCUGCUGGACCGCGACUGACGUUGAGGCUCGAAAGCGUGGGGAGCGAACAGGAUUAGAUACCCGCGUAAC